CGAAACACGUGGUACCCUUCCGACCACCGCGCCCCCUCCCCCACUUCGUCCCACUUCCUUCCGUAUGCAGAUAAUUACUCUUACUACAUAAGAGACGUUGAUGGAGGAGCGUCUUCAGGGUCUGAAUCUAUCGCGUGUUCUACGAUGUAAAGAUGGGGACAUAAUUAGCAGAUGGUAAUUAAAUUGAACGAGUGACAAACAUUGGCAGAUGGCAAUGAACGCUCGUAAUUCUGCAUGUCAGUUUGCUUCAGGUGGAGUAAACGCGAUAUGUAGAUCGUAGACGAAUGUGAUGAAUGUUUAUAAUUAUGUACAGGUAUGUAGAAUGGUAUGCUUUUUUUUUUAGGAGGGUUAUAUAAGUGACUCCAAUGUGAAAUGGAUGGAAUCUUUUACAGAUGAGUUCGUAACGAACAAAGUCAGAACCUAUCGAGUAUGAUGAAUUAAAAAAUGAAGAUAAGAUAAAACGAUUAAACAAGAUUAACUCCAAACAAUUAAAAGUUAUUGAAUUAAGCGGUGACAAGGUGCUCGACGCGUAUCGACGACGAAACGGAGAUCCUCGAGCGUGCUCAGGAACACGUGGUGUCCUUCCAACGACUACCCUCGAGCCACUUCCUCCUGACGUACAGACAAGAGUAACAACUAUUACUACAACUUCUAUAAACACAUCAGCAAUGCACCCCAGUCUCAAAGAAAAUAAUUUCAGAUUGACAAGAGAAGAGUAUCCUGUCAGAAGGUGCAGCUGUCGCCAAAUAAAUCGGUUACUUUCCACCCAACGUUCGCGAGAACGACGUACAAAGAGUUGAAUCGUGGACGAAACGAAGAUCCACGAUCGAAGAAAUUCGGCAUGCGAAUUACGCGCGAGCCUCGGUCGUCGCUCGGGACCACCGGUUCUGACGGCUAGAUUUUCAUUCGCUCGAACGGCUAGAAAGGACUCGGGACCGAAAGAUACCACGGACAGGGUACCGCGAAGGCAGGCUACUCGAAAACUCGACGUGUUCCAUGUUCGAGGGGGAGUAAAAACAGGUUUAAGAACGUAGUUGACCGGUCGACUUUUAAAUCGGUCAUCCGUCUAGCCGAGUAGAAAUCACGUCGAUUCGAAAUCAAGCACUCGUAUCAGCCAGGGAGGGAGCAUCGAAACUCACUAAAGAUCGUUGUCGUGUGGAUCAGCCGUGGUGGAACCGGUAAGUCGAACCGCACGAAUUAAAAAGAAAGGUGAGCGCGUUCGAGUCCGAGGGACGGUCCCGCGACAGCGUGGAAUAAGGAGGACACGUUUGCACUCGCGAUCGGUGAAAUAAUAUGUCGCGGAUAGAGGCACAUGGCAGGGCAUGUCCCCGCCGCAGGAUUAUACGUAGCAGCCGGCGUUCGGGCGCUCCGCGUCGCGACUGCCGCCGCGGCUAAAAAACCAUACGAUGACCUCAUCACACCGACUCUGUUCUCCUGCCCAUGUCACUGAUACUAGCUAUCCUGAAAACAUCGUCACCUGCCCGUCGCCUCCUGGAGGUUGUUGAUACCUGGUGUUAACCGCCGUCGAGACCACUGGCGUGUCCUUUGUGCCACCUUUUGAUUUAGAUUCGGAUUCACGUUUCUGUUCGUUACGUUUUCGUCAAGUCUACGGAUUUAAAAUUGUCACCUUAUGAUUUCUAUGAUCGUGAACUUGUAAUAAACGCGUCGCAGUCAAGAGGUUAAAUAUUGUAAAUAAAUAUAUCCCUCUAUAAACAUAGAAAAUACAA
Long non-coding RNA from Hylaeus anthracinus, 1727 nucleotides. RefSeq lists it as uncharacterized. The record is from RefSeq and is a predicted model, not a curated record. NCBI's taxonomy places the organism in Eukaryota, Metazoa, Arthropoda, Insecta, Hymenoptera, Colletidae. The transcript has 3 exons.